UCGGGUGCUCCUGUUUUCUGGUCGAUCGAACUGUCGCAAGUCCAAUCGUCCCAGGUCACAGGGGCAUUCGUGUGUUACGACCCGGCUUGGUCACCCAAUACAUCGGCGGAUCGAG
This 115-nucleotide small RNA is filed under the name Ornithinimicrobium sp. CNJ-824. RNAcentral's name for it is "Actinobacteria sRNA Ms_IGR-7". It matches the Rfam family "Actinobacteria sRNA Ms_IGR-7". The record is from Rfam by way of RNAcentral. Lineage: Bacteria; Bacillati; Actinomycetota; Actinomycetes; Micrococcales; Ornithinimicrobiaceae.